AUUGAACGCUGGCGGCAUGCCUUACACAUGCAAGUCGAACGGUAACGGGCCUUCGGGUGCCGACGAGUGGCGAACGGGUGAGUAAUACAUCGGAACGUGCCCGAUCGUGGGGGAUAACGAGGUGAAAGCUUUGCUAAUACCGCAUACGAUCUACGGAUGAAAGCAGGGGACCGCAAGGCCUUGCGCGGACGGAGCGGCCGAUGGCAGAUUAGGUAGUUGGUGGGAUAAAAGCUUACCAAGCCGACGAUCUGUAGCUGGUCUGAGAGGAUGAUCAGCCACACUGGGACUGAGACACGGCCCAGACUCCUACGGGAGGCAGCAGUGGGGAAUUUUGGACAAUGGGCGCAAGCCUGAUCCAGCCAUGCCGCGUGCAGGAUGAAGGCCUUCGGGUUGUAAACUGCUUUUGUACGGAACGAAAAGCCUUCUUUUAAUACAGGAGGGUCAUGACGGUACCGUAAGAAUAAGCACCGGCUAACUACGUG
RNAcentral lists this ribosomal RNA (482 nucleotides) under uncultured bacterium. RNAcentral's name for it is "partial 16S ribosomal RNA". It matches the Rfam family "Bacterial small subunit ribosomal RNA", at positions 30 to 507 of the family's 1533-position model. The record is from RNAcentral.